UAAAAGUUUGAUUCUGUCUUUCAAAUUAGUUUAUUCAUUAGUUUAUAUGGGGGAUUGUUAAUCAUUUUAUUCCAGUAAAAAGUAUUUUUAAUAGGGUUAACUUUGAAAUAGUAAAUGAAUAGUUAGUAGAUGAAAUUUGUGCCAGCAUUCGCGGUUAUACAAUUUACUAAGAUUAAUUUUAUAGAAUUUAAUUUUUAAAUAUUAUUAAGAUAAUAGUUAUAUUUUAUUUAGGUGGAAUUUAUAUUUUAAUUUAAUUUUCUUUAAAUAAAUUUAUUAUAAAAAAUUUUAUUAUUAAACUAGGAUUAGAUACCCUAUUAUUUUUAACGUAAUAAAUUAAUUCUGAAUAGUAUUAGUUAUGUUCUUUUAAGCUCAAAGAAUUUGGCGGUAAAGUAUCUUCUUAGAGGAACCUGUAGAUUAAUUGAUAAACCACGAUAGAGUCUACUUUUAUUAAAUAUUUGUAUACCGCUAUAUCAAAGAAUGUUCUCACAGGAUAUUUUCUUUUUCUUAAUAGAUUUAUAUUAGGUCAAGGUGCAGUUUUUAAAAAGUUUUUAUGGGUUACUAAAAUUAUAAAUCUAUAGGUCAACUUUAGUAGUUAUUAAGUUGUUAAUAAGGAUUUAAUAGUAAACUUAUCUAAUUAGUUAAAUUGAAUUGAGCUCUACUUUAUGUACAUAUCGCCCGUCACUCCUAAAAUAAUUUAGGAUAAGUCGUAACAAAGUAAUUUUACCGGAAGGUGAGGUUAGUAUAAA
This 746-nucleotide non-coding RNA is filed under the name Nephotettix virescens. Lineage: Eukaryota; Metazoa; Arthropoda; Insecta; Hemiptera; Cicadellidae. The record is from RNAcentral.